Non-coding RNA from Caenorhabditis elegans, 296 nucleotides. Lineage: Eukaryota; Metazoa; Nematoda; Chromadorea; Rhabditida; Rhabditidae. The record is from Ensembl.
GACGCCAAAAUGGUUUAUGACUAGUGACUGACUCAAGCUCUAUACACACACAACACUGAAUAAUUCUUUUUCCAGGGCCUAAGGCGGUAAAGUACAAAGAGUAAUGAAUCUGAAAAAUGGAGGGGGGGGGGGGGGUAGUUAAAUGAAGUGGACAAAGGGCGAAAGGAGAUUUCGUUGGGUUGAAUAAAUUGCAGGAAAUCCAGGAAAUCGUUAACCUAUCUAGAAAUUUGAAUGAGGUAUAGGUAUAGAUCAUUCAAAAAAUAAGGGAUUGAUUUUCCUUUUCAAACUAAUAAAAA